CAAAAAUCAGUUUCACCAAGCUGAGACCAGAUGUUGGCAGAACCGACUCCCUCUGAAGGUUCCAGGGUUUACAGAUGACUAACUCAGCAACCGCAGGUCCUUCUCAUGUUGUAAAACUGGAAAGUAGCUGUCUUUGAUCUCCAUGCAGCAGUUGUGCAUCCAAAAUCUAGAAUUUUCAACCCGUCAGCCCCACCACAUGUAUUUUCCCUUCUCUUUCUCCUGCUAAUAUUCUUCUUCCUCUUCUUCACCGUGCAGACCUCCAAGGGCAUAUUCUACAUCAGCCAUUUUCCUCAAACUUCUUUCAUUUAAUGUUCAGGAAAAAGCCCACCUCUUCCACUCAGUGUCCGUCCCUGUGACCAUGGAAAGUGAGAAUUCUUUCCCUCACUUGGCCUAUGUAAGAGCUGACACACCCUGAUCAUUUAUAAUAUAAUGCUAAGUGGUGGCUAAGUCACUAUUGGCACGGAUUAACUUUUUAUCUAGUUUAUACCUGGGGGAAAUGGCUUUGGACUGUUGAUCACACGAGGUCAUUUUAGAUCUUCCCUGAAAAGAGUUUGCAAGGCCAGGCUGAUAGUCACUGCAGCUCUGUGCCUCCCUGCUAAGAUCCCAUUAGGGUUUUGACCAAGAACAUGGUAAUAUUUCAUGACAGAACUUGAAAAAGUUAAAAAUGUAUAGAUGAACUAAUGCUUUA
Suricata suricatta (meerkat) is the source of this 688-nucleotide long non-coding RNA. RefSeq lists it as uncharacterized. NCBI's taxonomy places the organism in Eukaryota, Metazoa, Chordata, Mammalia, Carnivora, Herpestidae. The transcript has 2 exons. The record is from RefSeq and is a predicted model, not a curated record.